This 484-nucleotide ribosomal RNA is filed under the name uncultured bacterium. RNAcentral's name for it is "partial 16S ribosomal RNA". It matches the Rfam family "Bacterial small subunit ribosomal RNA", at positions 30 to 507 of the family's 1533-position model. The record is from RNAcentral.
AUUGAACGCUGGCGGCAGGCCUAACACAUGCAAGUCGAGCGGAUGAAGGGAGCUUGCUCCUGGAUUCAGCGGCGGACGGGUGGGUAAUGCCUAGGAAUCUGCCUGGUAGUGGGGGAUAACGUCCGGAAACGGGCGCUAAUACCGCAUACGUCCUGAGGGAGAAAGUGGGGGAUCUUCGGACCUCACGCUAUCAGAUGAGCCUAGGUCGGAUUAGCUAGUUGGUGGGGUAAAGGCCUACCAAGGCGACGAUCCGUAACUGGUCUGAGAGGAUGAUCAGUCACACUGGAACUGAGACACGGUCCAGACUCCUACGGGAGGCAGCAGUGGGGAAUAUUGGAAAAUGGGCGAAAGCCUGAUCCAGCCAUGCCGCGUGUGUGAAGAAGGUCUUCGGAUUGUAAAGCACUUUAAGUUGGGAGGAAGGGCAGUAAGUUAAUACCUUGCUGUUUUGACGUUACCAACAGAAUAAGCACCGGCUAACUUCGUG